RNAcentral lists this ribosomal RNA (465 nucleotides) under uncultured bacterium. RNAcentral describes it as "partial 16S ribosomal RNA". It matches the Rfam family "Bacterial small subunit ribosomal RNA", at positions 339 to 795 of the family's 1533-position model. The record is from RNAcentral.
CUACGGGGGGCAGCAGUGGGGAAUAUUGCGCAAUGGGGUCACCCCUGACGCAGCAAUACCGCGUGAGCGAUGAAGGCCUUUGGGUCGUAAAGCUCUGUUAGGUGGGAAGAAGUGUAGUGUGAUUAAUAGUCACAUUAUUUGACGGUACCACCAGAGGAAGCCCCGGCUAACUCCGUGCCAGCAGCCGCGGUAAUACGGAGGGGGCGAGCGUUGUUCGGAAUUACUGGGCGUAAAGGGCGUGUAGGCGGCCUGUUAAGUUAGGUGCGAAAGACCAUGGCUCAACCAUGGAAUUGUGCUUAAAACUGGCAGGCUUGAGUAUAGGAGAGGGGAGUGGAAUUCCCAGUGUAGCGGUGAAAUGCUUAGAUAUUGGGAGGAACACCGGUGGCGAAGGCGGCUCUCUGGACUAAUACUGACGCUGAGGCGCGAAAGCCAGGGGAGCGAACGGGAUUAGAUACCCUCGUAGUC